Long non-coding RNA from Myzus persicae (green peach aphid), 847 nucleotides. RefSeq lists it as uncharacterized. The record is from RefSeq and is a predicted model, not a curated record. Lineage: Eukaryota; Metazoa; Arthropoda; Insecta; Hemiptera; Aphididae. The transcript is spliced from 4 exons.
GAAAAGAAACUCGAAAAUUAUGAGUAUUUAAUGUAUCUUCUGGCUGUAUGUGCAGAAUUUCAAAAUGAUCAAUAUCGACAGUUGUCAACGGAUGCUUAUGCAGCUAUUGGAAUUAUCUGUACGGAUGGAUUCAAAUCAUUGAUGUUCUUUAAAUUUUGUAACGGUGCUGCUAAAAUUCUUCACAGACUAGUAUAUAUAACUGAAGAAUCUUUGGGUUAUGGAAGUGGCGCUCGAAGAGCAUUUGGAAAAUGGUAGAGAAAUCGUCUUGAGACAGUUGAACCUAUAAUAAAACAAAAAAAAAAUGUCAUGGUUUAAGUCACAAAAAAAUAAUGGAUACAAUUUAUCUGGUAUCGAAGGACCUAAGUCAUAAAAUGUAUAUUGUGUAUAUUGUGUAUAUACAAAAGAAGAAUUUGGACCAAGAAUGUGGAAAGUAUGUCAGCAAAGAGGUUAAAUCAUCAAAGAAAUUUACCACUAUAUUAAAAACUAGUGCAUCAUAUGGAUAAUGCAAAAGAUAGUAAAUUGUUAAGAGAAAUAAAAUGGAGUAUAUUGGGAGAACACUUGAAAUUGAUAAUUCUAAAAAUGUUACAAAGUACAAAAGUUUUAAUUUCUUUUGUUCAGCAUUUACCACUGAGAAUAUUGUUAGAGAAUACUUACUGCUUUCAUAGACAUGUCUUAUAUAGAAAUUUAUUGGGUAAAUAAGGCUUAAUGGAAUUUAUAUUGCUCUUCAAAGAUCAUAUAGCAGUAAAUGAAUCUGGAAUACAUCCAAUAAAAAUGCAAUGUCCAUUGAACUUGUAUACCUAAUUCAAAAGGAUUAAAAAUGUUAUAUAUUGAACAUAAAUUAAUAACA